CCUACGGGAGGCAGCAGUGGGGAAUUUUGGACAAUGGGCGCAAGCCUGAUCCAGCAAUGCCGCGUGAGUGAAGAAGGCCUUCGGGUUGUAAAGCUCUUUUGUCAGGGAAGAAACGGCCUGUUCUAAUACAGUGGGCUAAUGACGGUACCUGAAGAAUAAGCACCGGCUAACUACGUGCCAGCAGCCGCGGUAAUACGUAGGGUGCAAGCGUUAAUCGGAAUUACUGGGCGUAAAGCGUGCGCAGGCGGUUUUGUAAGUCUGUCGUGAAAUCCCCGGGCUCAACCUGGGAAUGGCGAUGGAGACUGCAAGGCUAGAGUUUGGCAGAGGGGGGUAGAAUUCCACGUGUAGCAGUGAAAUGCGUAGAUAUGUGGAGGAACACCGAUGGCGAAGGCAGCCCCCUGGGUCAAAACUGACGCUCAUGCACGAAAGCGUGGGGAGCAAACAGGAUUAGAUACCCUGGUAGUCCACGCCCUAAACGAUGUCUACUAGUUGUCGGGUCUUAAUUGACUUGGUAACGCAGCUACGCGUGAGUAGACCGCCGUCGGGAGGUACGGUCGGCGAAGAAGUUAAACUAACAAAUAGAAGUAGACGGCGUGAGACGUAGACCGAACGGACGACGACGAGGGAGGAGG
Molecule: ribosomal RNA, 632 nt
Filed under: uncultured bacterium
Lineage: Bacteria
Description: bacterial SSU rRNA
Rfam family: Bacterial small subunit ribosomal RNA (bases 1-540)
Source: RNAcentral